Molecule: ribosomal RNA, 592 nt
Filed under: uncultured bacterium
Lineage: Bacteria
Description: bacterial SSU rRNA
Rfam family: Bacterial small subunit ribosomal RNA
Source: RNAcentral
CCUACGGGAGGCAGCAGUGGGGAAUAUUGGACAAUGGGCGCAAGCCUGAUCCAGCAAUGCCGCGUGAGUGAUGAAGGCCUUCGGGUCGUAAAGCUCUUUUACCCGGGAUGAUAAUGACAGUACCGGGAGAAUAAGCUCCGGCUAACUCCGUGCCAGCAGCCGCGGUAAUACGGAGGGAGCUAGCGUUGUUCGGAAUUACUGGGCGUAAAGCGCACGUAGGCGGUUAUUCAAGUCAGAGGUGAAAGCCCGGGGCUCAACCCCGGAACUGCCUUUGAAACUAGAUGACUAGAAUCUUGGAGAGGUCAGUGGAAUUCCGAGUGUAGAGGUGAAAUUCGUAGAUAUUCGGAAGAACACCAGUGGCGAAGGCGACUGACUGGACAAGUAUUGACGCUGAGGUGCGAAAGCGCGGGGAGCAAACAGGAUUAGAUACCCUGGUAGUCCACGCCGUAAACGAUGAUAACUAGCUGUCCGGGUACUUGGUAUUUGGGUGGCGCAGCUAACGCAUUAAGUUAUCCGCCUGGGGAGUACGGUCGCAAGAUAAAACUCAAAUGAAAUUGAACGGCUGAGAGUGCGAGACGACGACGAGGAGAGG